Long non-coding RNA from Gallus gallus (chicken), 1523 nucleotides. The record is from Ensembl. Lineage: Eukaryota; Metazoa; Chordata; Aves; Galliformes; Phasianidae.
AUCUACUUGACUCUAUGUAUGGGAACUGUUGAAUCACAGCCUGAACCUCUGAUUGACCACCUGAGGCAAGCUCUGAAUCAGCUGCAGGGGCACAGGUGAACGCAAUUUCACCUGAGUGACCGGGCCUCCUAGACCCCACUUAAAGGCUGACUCCCAGGGAGGAUGGGUCUCUAUCUGGAGAUUGCUCCUUUUGGAGCCCUUCCAUGAGCCCAGGAUACAGGGCAGUUAUGCAAUGAAACGUUGAUUGUUCACACUGAAAGAGAAGCUUCUAGCAACACCUUUAAUGGAAAAAUACAGAGAAAACACAAAAGACCAUUGAUGAAAAUGAUGACUGCAUGAAUUACAGCCUUCAUGAGAAAGCUGGAGAGAUUUGGUGAUGUCUGUAGCUUCUUGCUACAGAAGCACCUGCCCAGCCUGAGCAUGGAGCAAAGAAUUACAAGACACAAACCUUGAUUCAGACAGUGAUCUUUGUUCAGACCAACAAUCUGUGCAUGUUUCAAGGAAUUUUCCUUGAGCAAGUGUUUUAAAAUUUUAUGGAAUAACACCAUGUACAAUUACUGUGUCCUGGAAGCUGCAGCUUUGGAUGCAGGAUGGAACAUUGCAGAGGUAAGAAAAAUUAUCUCCUCUUACUACUUUUCCCAUGCAGAGUUGUGGUAAGUCUUAUUCCUCUGGCUUUUUAAGAAAUUUCAGAUCUGAAGAAAGACACCAGGGAUGAACAAAUUGGAAUCUGGGUUUUCCUUUGGUUUUGCUAUCCCUUUUUGCUAAAUCCUGUUUUAGAACUGGGAAACAGUGAAUGGGCAAAAAAAGAAAAGAAGCAGAAAGGUAUUAAUUGUCGGUACUGGGAAAAUGUCUGUCAGCUAUUGAAGAGGAAAGGGAGCCCUUUGAAAGCAGGUCUGCCAAAACAGAAGUAGAGUUCAGUACAGAACACUGUAAGGAAAAUUUCUCUUGGGGAACAAGUAAGAAGAGAAAGACAGGAAAGACCUAAUUAAAAGUGAAGGUCUUGCAGUAAAUAAAUGAUUCAACUUGCUUCAAAAGUGUGUAGAAACAUUACUCCAUGAGAAUACCAAGUUAUAGUACAGUAAAAGUCUCUGAUAAAAUAGGUGGGAUAAUUUUUUUUCUUUGUAGAGUAGCACUGAAUUCCUCCUGCUUUAUAUACAGAACAUCAAAGUACAGCUAUGCCUGCCUAAUCAGUAGCAUUAGGAUUCCUGUAGCUUUUUUGCAACAUUCAAAAAAUCCAAUAAAAGUUUAUUAUUUCCAUUUUGGGGAUCUCUUGAGUCUGUACAGUAGGAAAACCCCAUCUCUUUCAUUUCAGAAAUAAUUUUGCACACAGAUAACAAUGUUGAUUCAGUGUCAUAUUAAAGCAUACGAAUAAACCUACUAGCAGGAAAUAAAAUUAAGCCAGCACUUAAAUGUUUUCUUAUAGGUCCUACUGUAAUUUCCUCAGUUUUGGGUGAACAUGUACUCAAUAAGGUGCCCAUCUAAAUCUAAUGGGAUACCCAAGUAUUUUGACGUUCACUCAUCAG